Molecule: non-coding RNA, 337 nt
Organism: Heterocephalus glaber (naked mole-rat)
Lineage: Eukaryota; Metazoa; Chordata; Mammalia; Rodentia; Bathyergidae
Source: RefSeq, a predicted model, not a curated record
CAAAUAUAGUUGUAGAAAUGUUACUGAAUACCCAUGUCUGUUUGGUUGCUGCUCUCCAAACCAACUCUAGAGAGCCUGGUGAAAAGGAAAAGGAUUUAUUCAAAGCUAGCUCUGAGGAGAUGGCCUCUUAUCACCACGAACCACCAAUUUACCAUGUCCAGGGGCUUGCAGCUAACACUGUGCCUUAAAUCUCAGAGGAGACUUUGGACUUAGACUUUUCAGCAACACUGAAACUGUUAGGAAUUUGGCAACUCUUGGAGAUGGACUAGAUGCCUUUUGCAUAAAGGAAUGUGCAUGAGGCUUUGGGGGUCCAGGGGCAGAAUAUUAUGGCUUGUGU